RNAcentral lists this ribosomal RNA (443 nucleotides) under uncultured bacterium. Its description in RNAcentral is "bacterial SSU rRNA". It matches the Rfam family "Bacterial small subunit ribosomal RNA", at positions 28 to 451 of the family's 1533-position model. The record is from RNAcentral.
GAUGAACGCUGGCGGCGUGCUUAACACAUGCAAGUCGAACGAAGCACUUUACCUGAUUUCCUUCGGGGAUGAUUGUUCUGUGACUGAGUGGCGGACGGGUGAGUAACGCGUGGAUAACCUGCCUCACACAGGGGGAUAACAGUUGGAAACGACUGCUAAUACCGCAUAAGCGCACAGCACCGCAUGGUGCAGUGUGAAAAACUCCGGUGGUGUGAGAUGGAUCCGCGUCUGAUUAGCUAGUUGGCGGGGUAACGGCCCACCAAGGCGACGAUCAGUAGCCGGCCUGAGAGGGCGACCGGCCACAUUGGGACUGAGACACGGCCCAGACUCCUACGGGAGGCAGCAGUGGGGAAUAUUGCACAAUGGGGGAAACCCUGAUGCAGCGACGCCGCGUGAGCGAUGAAGUAUUUCGGUAUGUAAAGCUCUAUCAGCAGGGAAGAUAA